Molecule: ribosomal RNA, 404 nt
Filed under: uncultured prokaryote
Also listed under: 1 other name
Description: bacterial SSU rRNA
Rfam family: Bacterial small subunit ribosomal RNA
Source: RNAcentral
UCGGGAAUUUUCGGCAAUGGGGGAAACCCUGACCGAGAAACGCCGCGUGAGGGAAGAAGGUCCUCGGAUCGUAAACCUUUGUCUUCAGGGACGAUAAUGACGGUACCUGAGGAGGAAGCCACGGCUAACUACGUGCCAGUAGCCGCGGUAAUACGUAGGUGGCAAGCGUUGUCCGGAAUUACUGGGCGUAAAGGGCGUGUAGGCGGUUUUUUAAGUUAGGCGUGAAAAUCCAGGGCUUAACCCUGGACCUGCGUUUGAAACUGGAAGACUUGAGGGCGGGAGAGGAAAGCGGAACUCCGUGUGUAGCGGUGAAAUGUGUAGAUAUACGGAAGAACACCAGUGGCGAAGGCGGCUUUCUGGACCGAUCCUGACGCUGAGGCGCGAAAGCUAGGGGAGCGAACGGG